CUUUGUUUUUGGCAUCAUCAUUGUACUUUGUGUUCAUGUAGCAAUUUGAGUAUGGGCUAUAGAAUACAUUUUUGUAGUUUUUGCGUGAUUUAGGUAGGCUUAAUGUUUAUUCGAUCUGUUCUCUGCUCUUAUAUCCUAUCCCCUUUGGGCUGAGCAGAAUGAGAAGAGUUAGCAAUUAGCUUGACUUUACUGCUUUGUAGAGCCUUGUAGCUGAUGCUAUGGCAUACUCAGUCAUACUUCCUGACUCUUAAUUUCAUUAUUGGUGAUGGCAAUAACAUGUAUGAUUUCACUUAUGUUGAAAAUGUGGCUCAUUCCCAUUUAUGUGCUGACCGAGCUCUAGCUUCAGAGGGGGAAGUUUCAAAAAAGCUGCAGGAGAGGUACCUUUGAAAGAUUCUCUCAUUACAUUUUUUGGUAUAUAAAUAUUUGUUUAAUUAUGUAAAUGAAGAUUAAACAUGGACAUCUUAGAAGGCGGUGAUGAUGAUCCUGCUCUAUUGUAGAUGGGUUGUUAGUUAUUCACAGGUGUACAUUCUUUAGAAACCACGGUUGCUAACAUGAUGAUGAGUUGAUGAUACAUUUAAGGGUAGAAUUUCUUCUUUUGGGUGAAUGACAGGACCUAGAAAAUAUAUGUUUCAGCAAAUCCUAAUCAAAUACUUAAGCUAAAAUCAGAAAGAUAUACAACAAAAAACCUUAUUCCACUUGGUAGGGUUGAUGAUUGAUGACAAACUUGGAUCAUUUUGAUGCUGCUAUGUUAUGUUUGAUUGGUUGUUU
Non-coding RNA from Arachis ipaensis, 768 nucleotides. Lineage: Eukaryota; Viridiplantae; Streptophyta; Magnoliopsida; Fabales; Fabaceae. The record is from RefSeq and is a predicted model, not a curated record.